This 505-nucleotide ribosomal RNA is filed under the name uncultured bacterium. RNAcentral describes it as "partial 16S ribosomal RNA". It matches the Rfam family "Bacterial small subunit ribosomal RNA", at positions 28 to 507 of the family's 1533-position model. The record is from RNAcentral.
GACGAACGCUGGCGGCGUGCCUAAUACAUGCAAGUAGAACGCACAGUUUAUACCGUAGCUUGCUACACCAUAGACUGUGAGUUGCGAACGGGUGAGUAACGCGUAGGUAACCUGCCUGGUAGCGGGGGAUAACUAUUGGAAACGAUAGCUAAUACCGCAUAAUAUUGAUUAUUGCAUGAUAAUUGAUUGAAAGAUGCUAUUGCAUCACUACCAGAUGGACCUGCGUUGUAUUAGCUAGUAGGUGAGGUAACGGCUCACCUAGGCGACGAUACAUAGCCGACCGGAGAGGGUGGUCGGCCACACUGGGACUGAGACACGGCCCAGACUCCUACGGGAGGCAGCAGUAGGGAAUCUUCGGCAAUGGACGAAAGUCUGACCGAGCAACGCCGCGGGAGUGAAGAAGGGUGUCGGAUCGUAAAGCUCUGUUGUAAGAGAAGAACGGGUGUGAGAGUGGAAAGUUCACACUGUGACGGUAUCUUACCAGAAAGGGACGGCUAACUACGUG